RNAcentral lists this ribosomal RNA (382 nucleotides) under uncultured bacterium. RNAcentral describes it as "bacterial SSU rRNA". It matches the Rfam family "Bacterial small subunit ribosomal RNA", at positions 30 to 412 of the family's 1533-position model. The record is from RNAcentral.
AUUGAACGCUGGCGGCAUGCCUUACACAUGCAAGUCGAACGGCAGCACGGGAGCAAUCCUGGUGGCGAGUGGCGAACGGGUGAGUAAUAUAUCGGAACGUGCCCAGUCGUGGGGAUAACGUAGCGAAAGCUACGCUAAUACCGCAUACGAUCUACGGAUGAAAGCGGGGGAUCGCAAGACCUCGCGCGAUUGGAGCGGCCGAUAUCAGAUUAGGUAGUUGGUGAGGUAAAGGCUCACCAAGCCGACGAUCUGUAGCUGGUCUGAGAGGACGACCAGCCACACUGGGACUGAGACACGGCCCAGACUCCUACGGGAGGCAGCAGUGGGGAAUUUUGGGACAAUGGGCGCAAGCCUGAUCCAGCAAUGCCGCGUGCAGGAUGAA